GUUACUAAAAUUAAAUUCUGUUUGUUCCUGCAUAAAUCUUUUUAGUACUAUACUGCUUUGGAAUGAAUUUUUUUGGGGGACAACAGCAGGAUUAGCGCCAUCUUCUAGAUGCCAUCAGGUAGGUGCGCUGGCGUAGGUGUUUGUUGUAGCAUUAUUAUCCUAUUCCCCCCUUUUAAAAAUGUUUGUAAGACGCCUGAAAUUUGUAUAAGUUAGUUAUAUAAGUAGUUGAAUAAGAAUUGGUGAGACUUGGAAAAUAGAAGAGGACAGAGAAGAUGGGAAGAAGAUUGCUUUGAAAUAGAAGGAAAUGAGAUAGAAGAUGUUUGAGGAAAGGAGGAGGAUUUUGUUCGCUGUAACGGAAGUUUUUUGAAUGAAAUUUGGAGCAACUGUAUUAAGAUGUUAUUGGUAUCUUGGAUAUCAAGUUUCAUUUAUUUAUGUAUUAUACAAGCUUAUCUAUUGGUGGAAAUGUAGGAUGGCCGCUGUUAUAACAACUUGGAUGAAUUAUUAGAAACACCAAAGAAGUUUUGACAUAGUUUAAACUGGGAAAAGGAAAAGGCUCACAAAUGACCAAUUUAUUCUACAGUAGAUACAGGACAUUAAAUUGACUUCAACAACGCAGAUAUCUCUCAAAAAUGAUAUCUGUUCGAGUGAUGUACUGGGCGUUAACAGUUGCUGUUACAAAUCUGCAAAUGAGUUAGAACUGUAGAUAAGUUUGAUGAAUGCCAAGGAAUUUUUUGAAUGGAAUGAUAGUGAAAAUCUUGCCCACAAAUGACAAUUUCAAGAUACAAUCAAUUGUACUUGAUUGAUUGGCCUUCAUUACCAUUGCGCUAUGAGAAUGUGAGCUGAACAAAUUGAUGGUAGAGGACAUUUUGACAGCUGCAGUCACAACUCGACGAACAAGUUGUAGCUUUGAAGGAAAAUUUUUGAUUGGAUACAGAAAAAUGUCAGGUUGUAAAGUUAAUAGAACCAGGGUUGGACUGGACAUCUGUUGCCUUUUAUUAAUGGUACACGAAAGGACAAUUGCUAUUAGAAACAAAUAAGUUCUACCAGCUGCAACUAAUAUUUAUGGUGGUCAUAAAAGAGAUUUAAAUGAAAUGAAACUUGUGCAGAAGAAAUCGAAGAAAACCAUUUUGAACUGCUGUUAAUAACUGUCAGAGCGUAUCCAGUUCUUUAUCAGUGGUAUACGCUGGGACAAUUGCUGUUAAAAAUCGACAAGCCGUACUAUCUGCAAAUAUUAUGGUGGACAUCAAAAAGCUUUAAAUGGAAUGAAACUUGCAGGAAAAGACUCAGACCGUACUUAAUAGCUGUUGAAAAGUGGUCACAGUCCUUUAUCAAUGAUAUCUCUGCAUUUUCUUAACAAUGGAUAUCAACAGUUGCUCCUACUCCUCACUUUCCUCUUUCACUCAACAUAAAGCAGACUCAAUACUCCUUAGUGCCUCAUCAAGGUUCGUUAGCUUCAUUAAUAGUGUUAUUGUUUCAAUAAAUUUGUUUAUUGGUUUUUAUCCUCUUACUAUAUAUUUAUAUCAGGCGUCAUUUUAAUGUUAAUUUUUUGUAAAAUUUUGAUAAUCUGGAUAGAAACCUUUUUUUUUCUUAAGCUUUUGCAAUAUAAAACACUAGCUAAGAGCAAUACACUUUAUUUUAUGAAUAGGACCAUUAUCUCUGUUGAUAUUGUCUUUAUAUUUAUGCUUUGUGUUGCCUCUAGUUUGAGGGAUGUUUGAUUAAUUUUAAAUCAAUCAAAUCAAUGCAAUAAUCUUUAUGGAGGAUACGUUGAGCAACAUAAUACUAAUCUGUUAUAAUUUUUCACCUCAAGCUUUUUUUCACUCUGACCUAUCUUAUAUUUACUUCCAUUAGUUCAAUCAUUAAAUUGUUAUUAAAUAAAACUAUUGUAUUCUGGAUUUCGUCAAAGGUAUUUUUUAAAAGGAUUAAAAA
RNAcentral lists this long non-coding RNA (1926 nucleotides) under Sitophilus oryzae (rice weevil). RNAcentral describes it as "uncharacterized LOC115890699". The record is from RNAcentral. Lineage: Eukaryota; Metazoa; Arthropoda; Insecta; Coleoptera; Curculionidae.